CCGGGCCCGGCAUGGUGCGGCGUCGCCGCCGAUGGCGCUGAGGCGGAGCAUGGGGCGGCCGGGGCUCCCGCCGCUGCCGCUGCCGCCGCCACCGCGGCUCGGGCUGCUGCUGGCGGCUCUGGCUUCUCUGCUGCUCCCGGAGUCCGCCGCCGCAGGUCUGAAGCUCAUGGGAGCCCCGGUGAAGCUGACAGUGUCUCAGGGGCAGCCGGUGAAGCUCAACUGCAGUGUGGAGGGGAUGGAGGAGCCUGACAUCCAGUGGGUGAAGGAUGGGGCUGUUGUCCAGAACUUGGACCAGUUGUACAUCCCAGUCAGCGAGCAGCACUGGAUCGGCUUCCUCAGGUGCAGGCCUGUGGGGGAAGGUGUGGGCUGCCAGCCAGGGGGCAGGCUAUGCUCUUUCCUUGGGGAUUGGGAGCUGGGGCCCUCUCCUGAUGCCCAGAGGUCUGUGGUUUUUUUAUUUGGCUACCUGUGGGACUUUCCAGAAGUGGGGGCAGGCUGAACUCAUCAAGUUUGCCCAGCAGAGCUGCCGCCCUUGCCCUCGGAAGCAAGCCUCGUAUCCUGUUUCCACAGCCUGAAGUCAGUGGAGCGCUCUGACGCCGGCCGGUACUGGUGCCAGGUGGAGGAUGGGGGCGAAACCGAGAUCUCCCAGCCAGUGUGGCUCACAGUAGAAGGUGAGGAGGCAGAGCCAUAUGGGCGUGUUGGCCUGGAGCACGUGCUGUCUGCUGGUGACUAUACCUCUGCAGCGGAGAACUCAGUAGAAGCUGGGCUGCCCCACUGCUCUGUGGGGCCUGGUUGUCCAGGCUGUAGGCCCACUCCAGAUGUCGGAAGACCCUACCAGUUGGAGUUGGGUAUCUGAGAACCAAGGGACCAACUGGGAUCCACAACCUGUGGGGUGCAGUCUGUUUCCGUUGCUUGAGCAACAAGCUUCAAGCAUCCAUCUGGGACUGGACCCUGUUCUGCCAAGUGGCCUGGCCAGCAGGGGGAGGGGAGGAAGGCUCUGCAGCUGCGGGAGCUCAGAGCUGUUCAGCCCAGGAAAACAAAGUGACUAAGAAAGUAACAAAGGGCCCUGAAUGGGAGCUGGGGCCUGGCAGCAGAACUCUGCUAAAGCUCCCACCCACUCCCCUGAGUUUUAUGCCCCUCUCCCAGCUCUCCACCCCCAGUCUCCUCUCUUACUGCAAGAAGAGCUGUCCAAAUCUGCCAUGCCUAAGGGGGCAGCAUGGAAGACGUGUCUAAGGUGCCAGGCAUGGUGGCGUGUGCCUGUAGUCCCAGCUACUCCGGAGGCUAAGGCCAGAGGAUCACUUGAGCCCCCAGGAGUUCCAGGCCAGCCUGGGCAACAUAGAGAGACCGCCCCACCACCAAUCUCAAAAAAAAAAAAAAAAAA
RNAcentral lists this small RNA (1378 nucleotides) under Pan troglodytes (chimpanzee). RNAcentral describes it as "retained intron". Lineage: Eukaryota; Metazoa; Chordata; Mammalia; Primates; Hominidae. The record is from RNAcentral.